Molecule: transfer RNA, 75 nt
Filed under: Minisyncoccota bacterium
Lineage: Bacteria; Bacillati; Minisyncoccota
Description: tRNA-Arg
Rfam family: tRNA
About the family: Transfer RNA (tRNA) molecules are approximately 80 nucleotides in length.
Source: RNAcentral
GGUCUCGUCGUUCAAUGGAUAGGACGCAACUUUGCGGAAGUUGUAAUGUAGGUUCGAUUCCUAUCGAGGCCACCA